This 311-nucleotide long non-coding RNA is filed under the name Ananas comosus (pineapple). RNAcentral's name for it is "long non-coding RNA (ACOM_LNC033594)". The record is from RNAcentral. Lineage: Eukaryota; Viridiplantae; Streptophyta; Magnoliopsida; Poales; Bromeliaceae.
AAAAAAAAAAAAAAAAAAAAAAAAAUAUAUAUAUAUAUAUAUAUAUAUAUAUAUAUAUAUAUAUAUAUAUAUAUGUUGACACAUAAUGACAUGAAAAUAUAUAUUUAUUUUUUAGCAACAACAUAUUCUAACUGUUUAUUUUGUAUUUUUAUCAAAUUUUUAAAAUUUAUUAAAAAAAUUACUUACUAAUUUAAUGAAUAGAAAGUUUUGAGUCGUGACAUCGGCACAGGUGUUGCAUCAUGCCGAUAUCUUGUUGGUACGAUAAGACAUUGUGAAUACGGCUCUUCCGAUGGGUACUUAAAUCUUUGAAU